UACGUAGGGAGCGAGCGUUGUCCGGAUUCAUUGGGCGUAAAGAGCUCGUAGGCGGCUUGAUAAGUCGGAUGUGAAACCUCCAGGCUCAACCUGGAGUCGCCAUCCGAUACUGUCAUGGCUAGAGUCCGGUAGGGGCCCACGGAACCCCUGGUGUAGCGGUGAAAUGCGCAGAUAUCAGGAAGAACACCGAUGGCGAAGGCAGUGGGCUGGGCCGGUACUGACGCUGAGGAGCGAAAGCGUGGGGAGCGAACAGG
This 254-nucleotide ribosomal RNA is filed under the name uncultured bacterium. Its description in RNAcentral is "partial 16S ribosomal RNA". It matches the Rfam family "Bacterial small subunit ribosomal RNA", at positions 524 to 776 of the family's 1533-position model. The record is from RNAcentral.